Molecule: ribosomal RNA, 433 nt
Filed under: uncultured bacterium
Lineage: Bacteria
Description: partial 16S ribosomal RNA
Rfam family: Bacterial small subunit ribosomal RNA
Source: RNAcentral
AACGAACGCUGGCGGCAUGCCUAACACAUGCAAGUCGAACGAGACCUUCGGGUCUAGUGGCGCACGGGUGCGUAACGCGUGGGAACCUGCCCUUAGGUUCGGAAUAACUCCCCGAAAGGGGUGCUAAUACCGGAUAAUGUCUUCGGACCAAAGAUUUAUCGCCUUUGGAUGGGCCCGCGUUGGAUUAGCUAGUUGGUAGGGUAAAAGCCUACCAAGGCGACGAUCCAUAGCUGGUCUGAGAGGAUGAUCAGCCACACUGGGACUGAGACACGGCCCAGACUCCUACGGGAGGCAGCAGUGGGGAAUAUUGGACAAUGGGCGAAAGCCUGAUACAGCAAUGCCGCGAGAGUGAUGAAGGCCUUAGGGUUGUAAAGCUCUUUUACCCGGGAUGAUAAUGACAGUACCGGGAGAAUAAGCACCGGCUAACUCCGUG